UGAGGGGAGGUGCUACAGUGUUAGAGGGUGGGUGGGGCAGCCGGAAGUGGGCAGGGUUUGCAUGGAGGCGGAGCUUUGUUGGCAAACCUGCCUGGCUUUUUGAGCUCCCUGAUCAAGAAGCAGAACAAUACAGUGCUCCAACCUUGCCUUCCUAUCAUUACCUGCUGCCUGCCUAAAAGUUUCUCUCAGCAGAAGAUACUCAAAGGAAGAUAGAGCCAUAGAACAAAGAUUAAAUUCAAGGCCCUGUUAGAAAAUCAUGGACUCAAG
Long non-coding RNA from Herpailurus yagouaroundi (jaguarundi), 267 nucleotides. RefSeq lists it as uncharacterized. The transcript is spliced from 3 exons. Lineage: Eukaryota; Metazoa; Chordata; Mammalia; Carnivora; Felidae. The record is from RefSeq and is a predicted model, not a curated record.